CGCUCAUCUCAGGCAAAUGUAGGAACCACUUUCAUUAACUUCUGUGGGUAUUUUUUCUAAUAAUAACAUUUGUGGCUGGAAUUUGAAGUCCUUGCCACAUACAUUCUCCAUCUUUCUACCUGAAUUCUCUCGUAUUCCCCCUGCAACCAUGCCAGUCACUUAUUAUAGGAAAACAUAAGGAAAUGGAUUCUCGGAGUUGGAGAUCGAAUAUUUGGGCAUUCUUGUAGUUGUAAACUUAUUUGUGAACAUGUUAAUAAACAUGUAUAGGUAAUUUAAUCUGUCAGUCCUGGAUUUUGGAUACAUGAAAUGUUCGUGAUGUGUCAUAUCCGAGUACGCUUUCAUGCCUUCUAAACCAUUCCAAAUAUCCCCUUUGCAGGAAGGUCUCUUGUCUUUUACUUGAUUUCCCACGUUCUAGUGACAGGAACGCUGUUGGAAAGUUACAGGUAUCUCAAAGGUACACUAGAGGUUUGUUUUUUUACGCAUUUUGUUCUCUAUUUUUCAACGAUAGAGAUACUCUAAUUUGUUUAGAUAUUAGUUAUUGUAUAAGAUUUGAUGUAGUUCCACCAAAGGCACAUGCCAUCAACUUCAACAAGAAAAAAAGGAAUUGAUUAAAUAAUAAAACAUUACAAGUCAGAUGUCUAAUAGACUAUAGUUCAGCAUAAGGGUCUAAGGCUGAUGGCUCAGCACUGCAUUUAAGAGAAAGAUUGCACAAACGACAGGAAUUUUAUUGCUUCGCAUCACAGACAUCUGAUAAUAUGACAGCAACAAAGAUAUAGAACAUAUAUGGAUUUUAAGUAAAAAAAACAAAAAGUUAUUUAUUUUGGAAGUAACUCUUAACUUCGUGACAAAAUAAGGUAAACUUUUUAAGCACAAAGCAUGCAAACAUCAUUUAUUUAAAACUUAUUAACUUACUAAUAAGUAAACUUUGUAAGCUUAGCCAAACAAACUCCUAGGAAGUAUGACAUGUCAAAAAAAAAUUAAUGCAAUAAGUUG
Molecule: long non-coding RNA, 993 nt
Filed under: Olea europaea (common olive)
Lineage: Eukaryota; Viridiplantae; Streptophyta; Magnoliopsida; Lamiales; Oleaceae
Description: long non-coding RNA (OEUR_LNC013537)
Source: RNAcentral